Molecule: long non-coding RNA, 311 nt
Organism: Helicoverpa zea (corn earworm)
Lineage: Eukaryota; Metazoa; Arthropoda; Insecta; Lepidoptera; Noctuidae
Exons: 3
Source: RefSeq, a predicted model, not a curated record
GUACAGUACAUAUACACAAAACAGUCACUUUUCAGUUCGUGGUCGUGCCGUCAGAUGUCGCGUUGCAGCCGCUGUGAAUAGUUUUAACCACACUGACCUCGGUAGUGGCAUGUAUAAGUUUGGCGAGUCCCGCGCACAACGGCGUGGGCUGUGACAGCUUGAGCGUAAAGCAAGCGGGGAGCAUCGCACUAUUCUGCGGCACCAGUUGAGCGUAUACAGGACGCUGUCCGCCCGAUAUAAUAGGCGACAACUGCAGCUUAUUUGGCGUCGAACCUUCUAGAAGGACGGUCGCCGAAUGUCCAAUAGGCGUG